Molecule: ribosomal RNA, 395 nt
Filed under: uncultured bacterium
Lineage: Bacteria
Description: bacterial SSU rRNA
Rfam family: Bacterial small subunit ribosomal RNA
Source: RNAcentral
GUGUCAGCCGCCGCGGUAAUACGGAGGGUGCAAACGUUGCUCGGAAUCAUUGGGCGUAAAGCGCACGUAGGCGGCGGCAUAAGCGGGAUGUGAAAGCCCAGGGCUCAACCCUGGAAGUGCAUCCCGAACUGUGUCGCUUGAAUCUCGGAGGGGGACAGAGAAUUCCCGGUGUAGAGGUGAAAUUCGUAGAUAUCGGGAGGAAUACCAGUGGCGAAGGCGCUGUCCUGGACGAAGAUUGACGCUGAGGUGCGAAAGCGCGGGGAGCAAACAGGAUUAGAUACCCUGGUAGUCCGCGCUGUAAACGAUGAGUGCUGGACGGUGGAGGAUUUGACCCCUUCGCUGUCGAAGCUAACGCGUUAAGCACUCCGCCUGGGGAGUACGGUCGCAAGACUAAA